AGGGUUUGAUCAUGGCUCAGAACGUACGCUGGCGGCACGCCUAACACAUGCAAGUCGAACGAAGUAGCAAUACUUAGUGGCAGACGGGUGAGUAACAUGUGGGUAUCUGCCCUUUGGCCUGGAAUAACACGAGGAAACUUGUGCUAAUACCGGAUAAGUCUUUACGGAGAAAGCUUUAUGCACCAUUGGAUGAGCCCGCACUUGAUUAGUUUGUUGGUGGGGUAAUGGCCUACCAAGACUGUGAUCAAUAGCUGAUUUGAGAGGAUGAUCAGCCACAUUGGGACUGAGACACGGCCCAAACUCCUACGGGAGGCAGCAGUGGGGAAUCUUGCACAAUGGAGGAAACUCUGAUGCAGCGAUGCCGCGUGAGUGAAGAAGGCCCUUGGGUUGUAAAGCUCUUUCGUCGGGGAAGAAAAUGACUGUACCCGAAUAAGAAGGUCCGGCUAACUUCGUGCCAGCAGCCGCGGUAAUACGAAGGGACCUAGCGUAGUUCGGAAUUACUGGGCUUAAAGAGUUCGUAGGUGGUUGAAAAAGUUAGUGGUGAAAUCCCAGAGCUUAACUCUGGAACUGCCAUUAAAACUUUUCAGCUAGAGUAUGAUAGAGGAAAGCAGAAUUUCUAGUGUAGAGGUGAAAUUCGUAGAUAUUAGAAAGAAUACCAAUUGCGAAGGCAGCUUUCUGGAUCAUUACUGACACUGAGGAACGAAAGCAUGGGUAGCGAAGAGGAUUAGAUACCCUCGUAGUCCAUGCCGUAAACGAUGUGUGUUAGACGUUGGAAAUUUAUUUUCAGUGUCGCAGCGAAAGCGAUAAACACACCGCCUGGGGAGUACGACCGCAAGGUUAAAACUCAAAUGAAUUGACGGGGACCCGCACAAGUAGUGGAGCAUGUGGUUUAAUUCGAUGCAACGCGAAAAACCUUACCUACCCUUGACAUGUCACUAACGAAGUAGAGAUACAUUAGGUGCUCGAAAGAGAGCCGUAACACAGGUGCUGCAUGGCUGUCGUCAGCUCGUGUCGUGAGAUGUUGGGUUAAGUCCCGCAACGAGCGCAACCCUUGUCAUUAGUUGCUACAUUUAGUUGGGCACUCUAAUGAGACUGCCGGUGACAAACCGGAGGAAGGUGGGGAUGACGUCAAGUCCUCAUGGCCCUUAUGGGUAGGGCUACACACGUCAUACAAUGGCUGGUACAAAGGGUUGCCAACCCGCGAGGGGGAGCUAAUCCCAUAAAGCCAGUCGUAGUCCGGAUCGUAGUCUGCAACUCGACUGCGUGAAGUCGGAAUCGCUAGUAAUCGUGGAUCAGAAUGUCACGGUGAAUACGUUCCCGGGUCUUGUACACACCGCCCGUCACACCAUGGGAGCGGGU
This 1359-nucleotide ribosomal RNA is filed under the name uncultured bacterium. RNAcentral's name for it is "partial 16S ribosomal RNA". It matches the Rfam family "Bacterial small subunit ribosomal RNA". The record is from RNAcentral.